UUUAUGGAGAGUUUGAUCCUGGCUCAGGAUGAACGCUGGCGGCGUGCCUAAUACAUGCAAGUCGAGCGAACGGACGAGAAGCUUGCUUCUCUGAUGUUAGCGGCGGACGGGUGAGUAACACGUGGAUAACCUACCUAUAAGACUGGGAUAACUUCGGGAAACCGGAGCUAAUACCAGAUAAUAUUUUGAACCGCAUGGUUCAAAAGUGAAAGACGGUCUUGCUGUCACUUAUAGAUGGAUCCGCGCUGCAUUAGCUAGUUGGUAAGGUAACGGCUUACCAAGGCAACGAUGCAUAGCCGACCUGAGAGGGUGAUCGGCCACACUGGAACUGAGACACGGUCCAGACUCCUACGGGAGGCAGCAGUAGGGAAUCUUCCGCAAUGGGCGAAAGCCUGACGGAGCAACGCCGCGUGAGUGAUGAAGGUCUUCGGAUCGUAAAACUCUGUUAUUAGGGAAGAACAUAUGUGUAAGUAACUGUGCACAUCUUGACGGUACCUAAUCAGAAAGCCACGGCUAACUACGUGCCAGCAGCCGCGGUAAUACGUAGGUGGCAAGCGUUAUCCGGAAUUAUUGGGCGUAAAGCGCGCGUAGGCGGUUUUUUAAGUCUGAUGUGAAAGCCCACGGCUCAACCGUGGAGGGUCAUUGGAAACUGGAAAACUUGAGUGCAGAAGAGGAAAGUGGAAUUCCAUGUGUAGCGGUGAAAUGCGCAGAGAUAUGGAGGAACACCAGUGGCGAAGGCGACUUUCUGGUCUGUAACUGACGCUGAUGUGCGAAAGCGUGGGGAUCAAACAGGAUUAGAUACCCUGGUAGUCCACGCCGUAAACGAUGAG
Molecule: ribosomal RNA, 830 nt
Filed under: Staphylococcus aureus
Lineage: Bacteria; Bacillati; Bacillota; Bacilli; Caryophanales; Staphylococcaceae
Description: bacterial SSU rRNA
Rfam family: Bacterial small subunit ribosomal RNA
Source: RNAcentral